RNAcentral lists this ribosomal RNA (113 nucleotides) under Trachichthyidae sp. KP-2015. RNAcentral describes it as "partial 16S ribosomal RNA". Lineage: Eukaryota; Metazoa; Chordata; Actinopteri; Trachichthyiformes; Trachichthyidae. The record is from RNAcentral.
CGAGAAGACCCUAUGGAGCUUCAGACACAAGGCAGCCCACGUUAAUAACCCCUAAACAAAGGACCAAACUAAAUGAAACUCUGCCAGAAUGUCUUUGGUUGGGGCGACCUAGG